Molecule: ribosomal RNA, 477 nt
Filed under: uncultured bacterium
Lineage: Bacteria
Description: partial 16S ribosomal RNA
Rfam family: Bacterial small subunit ribosomal RNA
Source: RNAcentral
AUUGAACGCUGGCGGCAUGCCUUACACAUGCAAGUCGAACGGUAACAGGUUAAGCUGACGCGUGGCGAACGGGUGAGUAAUACAUCGGAACGUGCCCAGUAGUGGGGGAUAGCCCGGCGAAAGCCGGAUUAAUACCGCAUACGACCUAAGGGUGAAAGGGGGGGAUCGCAAGACCUCUCGCUAUUGGAGCGGCCGAUGUCAGAUUAGCUAGUUGGUGGGGUAAAAGCUCACCAAGGCGACGAUCUGUAGCUGGUCUGAGAGGACGACCAGCCACACUGGGACUGAGACACGGCCCAGACUCCUACGGGAGGCAGCAGUGGGGAAUUUUGGACAAUGGGCGCAAGCCUGAUCCAGCCAUGCCGCGUGCGGGAAGAAAGCCUUCGGGUUGUAAACCGCUUUUGUCAGGGAAGAAAUCCUUUGGGUUAAUACCUCGGGGGGAUGACGGUACCUGAAGAAUAAGCACCGGCUAACUACGUG